UACGUAGGGUGCUAGCGUUGUCCGGAAUCAUUGGGCGUAAAGCGCGUGUAGGCGGCCCGGUAAGUCCGCUGUGAAAGUCGGGGGCUCAACCCUCGAAAGCCGGUGGAUACUGUCGGGCUCGAGUGCGGAAGAGGCGAGUGGAAUUCCUGGUGUAGCGGUGAAAUGCGCAGAUAUCAGGAGGAACACCGAUUGCGAAGGCAGCUCGCUGGGACGUUACUGACGCUGAGACGCGAAAGCGUGGGGAGCAAACAGG
This 253-nucleotide ribosomal RNA is filed under the name uncultured bacterium. Its description in RNAcentral is "partial 16S ribosomal RNA". It matches the Rfam family "Bacterial small subunit ribosomal RNA", at positions 524 to 776 of the family's 1533-position model. The record is from RNAcentral.